This 565-nucleotide ribosomal RNA is filed under the name Blastocystis hominis. Its description in RNAcentral is "SSU rRNA". It matches the Rfam family "Eukaryotic small subunit ribosomal RNA", at positions 17 to 583 of the family's 1831-position model. Lineage: Eukaryota; Bigyra; Opalinata; Blastocystidae. The record is from RNAcentral.
CCAGUAGUCAUAUGCUUGUCUCAAAGAUUAAGCCAUGCAUGUCUAAGUAUAAGCAAUUUAUACAGUGAAACUGCGAAUGGCUCAUUAAAUCAGUUAUCGUUUAUUUGAUAGUUCCUUUACUACAUGGUAUAACUGUGGUAAUUCUAGAGCUAAUACAUGCUUAAAAUCUCGACCCUUUGGAAGAGAUGUAUUUAUUAGAUAAAAAAUCAAUGUCUUCGGACUCUUUGAUGAUUCAUAAUAACUUUUCGAAUCGCAUGGCCUUGUGCUGGCGAUGGUUCAUUCAAAUUUCUGCCCUAUCAACUUUCGAUGGUAGGAUAGUGGCCUACCAUGGUUUCAACGGGUAACGGGGAAUAAGGGUUCGAUUCCGGAGAGGGAGCCUGAGAAACGGCUACCACAUCCAAGGAAGGCAGCAGGCGCGCAAAUUACCCAAUCCUAAUUCAGGGAGGUAGUGACAAUAAAUAACGAUACAGGGCCCAUUCGGGUCUUGUAAUUGGAAUGAGUACAAUGUAAAUACCUUAACGAGGAACAAUUGGAGGGCAAGUCUGGUGCCAGCAGCCGCGGUAAU